RNAcentral lists this ribosomal RNA (253 nucleotides) under uncultured bacterium. RNAcentral describes it as "partial 16S ribosomal RNA". It matches the Rfam family "Bacterial small subunit ribosomal RNA", at positions 524 to 776 of the family's 1533-position model. The record is from RNAcentral.
UACGGAGGGUGCGAGCGUUGUCCGGAAUCACUGGGCGUAAAGGGCGCGUAGGUGGCGCGGGCAGUCAACGGUGAAAGUUCGGGGCUCAACCCUGAAUCGGCCGUCGAUACUCCCGGGCUUGAGCACUGUAGAGGCUAAUGGAAUUCCGGGUGUAGCGGUGGGAUGCGUAGAGAUCCGGAAGAACACCGGUGGCGAAGGCGGUUAGCUGGGCAGUUGCUGACACUGAGGCGCGACAGCGUGGGGAGCAAACAGG